GCCUGGGUGGCGGAACUGGUAGACGCAUCGGACUUAAAAUCCGGUGGUCAUCUUAUGGCCGUGUCGGUUCGAGUCCGACCCCAGGUA
This 87-nucleotide transfer RNA is filed under the name bacterium. RNAcentral describes it as "tRNA-Leu". It matches the Rfam family "tRNA". From Rfam's summary of the family: Transfer RNA (tRNA) molecules are approximately 80 nucleotides in length. RNAcentral also lists the same sequence under 1 other name. The record is from RNAcentral.